AUGCAUUUUAGUGUUUUGGCCUUCCCACAUCGUGUCUCGGAGCCUAUCAAGAGCCUUCCACGGUGUCCACAUAGUUAUCUGAAGAACCUACAUAUUACAGGAUUUUCGGGAACAACAGGACAACUUGAAUUUCUAGUGCACGUUGUUGAAAAUGCCCCUGCUCUGAAGAUACUGACGAUUAAAGGAGCUGACUCGAUUGGUCGUGAUCUCAAUCAUGAAGGGAAAAGAAAAUUUUCUUUGAAGUUCCGCGAAUUGGAGAGGAAAUACCUUCAUGGGAUAAUUUCACCAAAUGUGGACCUCCGUAUUAUUUAA
Molecule: ribosomal RNA, 312 nt
Filed under: Triticum aestivum (bread wheat)
Lineage: Eukaryota; Viridiplantae; Streptophyta; Magnoliopsida; Poales; Poaceae
Description: partial small subunit ribosomal RNA
Source: RNAcentral